Molecule: long non-coding RNA, 319 nt
Organism: Pantherophis guttatus
Lineage: Eukaryota; Metazoa; Chordata; Lepidosauria; Squamata; Colubridae
Source: RefSeq, a predicted model, not a curated record
AGAUGUGGGUGUGGCCAGCACAUGAUCAAUCCGGCCAGCGAGCUGUGAAUUUGAUAGCCCUGGACUAAAGGAUCUCCAAGAGAGUACAAUCUUUAUUUUUAUCAGACUCCUGGGAUGUGACCUUCGAUGGAGAUUCUCAGGAUACAAGGGCAGCAUAAACAAUGACAGAAGAGCCUUUUCCUUCUUCUGCUGGUCCAGCUACAUACGAUGCAUGUGGAUGAGAUGACUCUCCAAAGUCAAUUGCGGAAAUCUCUAGGAGAAUAGUAUCUCCUAUAAAUACGCACUAGUGCUCCUCAUGUUAUGAUUAAUGCCACUAACA